This 378-nucleotide ribosomal RNA is filed under the name Laphria sp. MFW-1997. RNAcentral's name for it is "eukaryotic LSU rRNA". It matches the Rfam family "Eukaryotic large subunit ribosomal RNA", at positions 646 to 964 of the family's 3401-position model. Lineage: Eukaryota; Metazoa; Arthropoda; Insecta; Diptera; Asilidae. The record is from RNAcentral.
GACCCGUCUUGAACCACGGAGUCUAACAUGUGUGCAAGUCAUUGGGUAUAUAAAACCUAAAGGCAUAAUUAACUUAACUGUUAUAUAUGGGAUCAUAUAUAUAUAUAUGUUUAUUAUAUAUAUAUUCCAUCCCGGGACGUUCUAUAUAGUUAUGCAUUUUAAUAUAUUUUAUAUAUUAUAUAUGCCUCUAACUAGAACUAGAGCGUACCUUGAGCAUAUAUGUUGUGACCCGAAAGAUGGUGAACUAUACCUGAUCAGGUUGAAGUCAGGGGAAACCCUGAUGGAAGACCGAAACAGUUCUGACGUGCAAAUCGAUUGUCAGAAUUGGGUAUAGGGGCGAAAGACCAAUCGAACCAUCUAGUAGCUGGUUCCUUCCGA